GCCUGGUUGGCUCAGUAGGUUAAGUGUCCGACUUUGGCUCGGGUCAUGAAAUCAUGGUUCGUGGGUUUGAGCCCCGCAUUGGGCU
Molecule: transfer RNA, 85 nt
Filed under: Felis catus (domestic cat)
Lineage: Eukaryota; Metazoa; Chordata; Mammalia; Carnivora; Felidae
Rfam family: tRNA
About the family: Transfer RNA (tRNA) molecules are approximately 80 nucleotides in length. Their secondary structure includes four short double-helical elements and three loops (D, anti-codon, and T loops).
Source: Rfam by way of RNAcentral